This 1054-nucleotide ribosomal RNA is filed under the name uncultured bacterium. RNAcentral's name for it is "bacterial SSU rRNA". It matches the Rfam family "Bacterial small subunit ribosomal RNA", at positions 289 to 1364 of the family's 1533-position model. The record is from RNAcentral.
GGACUGAGAGGUUGAACGGCCACAUUGGGACUGAGAUCCGGCCCAGACUCCUACGGGAGGCAGCAGUCGGGAAUAUUGCGCAAUGGAGGAAACUUUGACGCAGUGACGCCGCGUAUGGGAAGAAGGUUUUCGGAUUGUAAACCAUUUUCGACAAGGAAGAAACACGACUGCCCUAGUAGUAUGGGUUGGGUCUCUCCGUGCCCCCGCCCGCGGUGUUNCGGGGGGUCCGCGCGUUUUCCGGGUUUNUUGGGUUUGUAGGGNGCGUUGGUGGGUUGUUUGUUCUGUUGUGGNGGUUUGCGGCUCCUCCGUUGGCUUGCCGUUGNUNCUGGCUGUCUUGGGUUCUGUUGGGGUGGGCGGGNUUCGUGGUGUUGCGGUGGGGUGCUUUGGUUUCUCGGGGGNCUCCGGUUGCGGGGCCGGCUUUCUGCNCUGUAACUGACAUUGAUGCUCGAAAGAGUGGGUCUCAAAAAGGAAUAGAUACCCUGGUAGUCCACACGGGUAAACGAUGAAUACUCGCUGUAGGCGAUAUACAGUCUGCGGCCAAGCGAAAGCAUUAAGUAUUCCACCUGGGGAGUACGCCGGCAACGGUGAAACUCAAAGGAAUUGACGGGGGCCCGCACAAGCGGAGGAACAUGUGGUUUAAUUCGAUGAUACGCGAGGAACCUUACCCGGGCUUAAAUUGCAACCGAAUAUGGCGGAAACGCUAUAGCUAGCAAUAGCGGUUGUGAAGGUGCUGCAUGGUUGUCGUCAGCUCGUGCCGUGAGGUGUCGGCUUAAGUGCCAUAACGAGCGCAACCCUUGCCGAUAGUUACUAACAGGUCAUGCUGAGGACUCUGUCGGGACUGCCAUCGUAAGAUGUGAGGAAGGUGGGGAUGACGUCAAAUCAGCACGGCCCUUACGUCCGGGGCUACACACGUGUUACAAUGGGGGGUACAGAGGGCUGCUACCACGCAAGUGGAUGCCAAUCCCAAAAACCUCUCUCAGUUCGGAUUGAAGUCUGCAACCCGACUUCAUGAAGCUGGAUUCGCUAGUAAUCGCGCAUCAGCCACGGCGCGGUG